Long non-coding RNA from Loxodonta africana (African savanna elephant), 6726 nucleotides. RefSeq lists it as uncharacterized. The record is from RefSeq and is a predicted model, not a curated record. Lineage: Eukaryota; Metazoa; Chordata; Mammalia; Proboscidea; Elephantidae. The transcript is spliced from 3 exons.
GGGUAAGCAAGACAGAGAAUUGGUGAGAAAGACAGUCAGAGACGAAACUCAGCAGGGACCAGUGCUGGCCUUGAAGGACAAAGUUGCUGAAAGGGGUCUCUGCCCAUGGGGUGUCUGGAGGCAGAGUUGACCAGGAUGGCCCCAUUUGGGGUCUGUGUGGGGAACCAAGGCAAUGAAGCAAAAGGUCAAGUAGAGGACGGAGGAGCCCGACUCUGGGGGGCCUCCACGCCAAGUUAUUCUAAAAUCGCAUACGUGUGAAAACAUGUGGAUUGUGUAUGUGCACCUCAGCCUGGACAAAGGUGCAGAAGGACCCACAGGCUGCUGUUGGUUAUCUCGGGGUGGACUGGAGCACAGGUCCUUGUGGGAUGCAAAUGAGCUACUAAGCUAAAGGUUGGUGAUUCGAACCUACCUGGCAGCACUGCAGAAGAAAGAGCUGGCAAUCUGCUUCCGUAAAGAUUACAGCCAAGAAAACCUGAUAGAACAGGGGGUGUAACAGGGGGUCGCCAUGAGUUGGAACUAUUAACUCUUAGUAGAUGCCUCUGUAUAGUUUAACUCUUUAGAGUGAACAUAUAAUUUGUGAGUUGAAUUUUUUUAAUCCAAUGAAGUAGAAGUGGAAAGGGAGGAAGAACAGCGAUGGUUUGGACUGUGUUCUGCAGAAAGGUAGGCGCGGGCUUUCGAGCAGGGGGCCAGAAAGCGCCCUGAGACAACCGGCCAGACCUAGAUCUGAUUUCAGCCCCCGCCUUUGUUCAGCUGCGCCGCCAAGAGCCACCACCAGGGGGCGCUGCUGGGGCAUGGAGUGGACGCCUCUAGAUUUCGACUGCCCAGUCCACCUUCCCUCCUCCUCCGAUAGCAUCGCACCUACCUCUUUAUAAAACUGCCCCUCUUACCAAGAUUCUCUGUCCCGAUUAAUCGACAUCUCUCCUGCUGCGGCCCCUUUAAGGUCGCUUUGGAGGACCUAGUUUCAAAACAGAUGACGACCUUCUACCUGCUGUCUCUAUGGUAUAGAAGUCCUCACUUCCGGCCGGAAGUGCUUGUGCCGCGCUGUCUCGGCCUUGGAAGACGGAGGGGGGUGUUGCACGUGUUCUGUGGCGUCCUGGGGACGGCAGGCCCCCUCACAUGCUGCUGGUCGUCGGUCCCUGGCCCGCAGGGUGACGCGGAGCUACCCUAGCCGCCCCUUCCACAGCCACCGACCAUACCUGGGGCGUCGGGCCCCGCGGGGGGCAAGCAUACAAGACAGACCAGGGUCUCGCGACCCCAGAGAAAAGGGCUUCCCCACGGUCCUGGAACCCCAGAGAUCUGAGACCCCCACUCCAUGGAUCGCUGGACUCUGGAGACCUGAGACACCCCGCCGUGGGUCCUGGGGCCCUCCCCCUCCCCGCGCCGAGACCUGAGACCCUCGUCCUAUUCCCCUCCCCCUCCUCCACGGUACCGGGACCUCGGAGACCGCAAGCCCCGCCGCGGGGCCCGGGGCUUCAGGGACCGCACCUGGCACAGCAGCUGGGGCUGGGACGGGAGGAGGCAAAGGGAACUCGGUCAGAACACAGACACCAAAACUGGGACAAGGGAAUUGUAGGGAGGCGCUGCAGCUGGCAGGAAAGCCUGGGAGCCCCCGACUGGGUGAGCAUGAAGUGAGACUUUUACCCUCACAGAGCAUGCUGUAUUACUGUUUUUUCCAGGGUUUCCACAGAAAAUGAGGAACAGCCAGCCUUUGGCAUUUGGGUGGAGAUACGGAAGGACUAUUUUGAGAUACAGGUAUGUUGAGCUUGGAGACAAAGUGUCCUAAACUGGUGGUCUGGGGGAAGGCUCCUGUGUGGCUGAACCUGCCCAGUUGUGGGUGCAGCCUGGUACCAGGCAGCCCAACCCUGACCUAGAGUAAAUUCUCAGGAGAAGCUUUCCCUGGGUUUUGAAUUUGCAGUAACAGGUGUGAACAUUCUAGCAGCAGUUUGAUGAUCAUGUAUGAUACUGCAAACAAGACCGGUGCCAAAAGAAGGCAAUUUUUAUAGUUGGUACCAAGGAGCAGGUAGUUUUUGAAAAAGCUGUGAAUACUGUUGGAUCUUUGUUCAGUGGGUGCUUGUUGACAGUUUGUCGAAGUGCCAUGCUAAGUGCUGGAGGUGCAGGGAUGAGCAAGGCAGUCGUGGUCUCUGCUCCUGGGGAGCUGCAGCCCAGCCGGGGGACUGAUAUUAAAUGGCCAUGCUAAAAAAAGAAGGCAGAAUUUAAACUGAGCUGAAUGCUUUGAAGGAAAGCAGCACAGUCCUUUAAGAAUAUAAAUCAAGACGAACCUGAUAGAGACUGGAAGGCUGAGGAUGGGACUUUUCAACUGGCCUCUGAAGGAUGAGUAGGAGUUCGCUGAGAAGGCCAGGGAGCAAGCAGCCUGUGCAAAGGCCCCAGCCUGACAAGUUUGGGUGGUGGAGGAACUGAAAAAAGGCCAUUAUAGCCAUAAAGCAAGGGGGGAGAAUGGUGUGGAACGAAGCUGAAAAGAUGGGAAAAACCAGACCACACAGGGUCUUGUGGCCUGUGUAAGGAUUUUGGUUUUUGUCUUAAGAACAGUGGGAGGCCCGUUGUAGGUUUUAAACAAGAGAGUGUUGGGCUAAAAUCUAAUUUCGGAAGAGUGCUGUGUCUAGAACAGCGCUGUCCAGAAGAAUCUAAUGGAAAUGUUUUCUCUGGGUUCUGUCUGAUACACACUAGCCACUAACCACAUGUGCUGUUGAGCAUUUGCCAUGUGGCUAGUGAGACUAAGGAAUGAAUUUUUAAUUUUAGCUAAUUUAGAUGUAAAUGGCCACUUGUGGUUGGUGGCCACUGAGUUGGACUGCACAGGUCUAGAACGUGAUGGGGACAGUAGUGACACCUGAAUCAGAAUCGUGGCAACAGGUGCUCUUUCUUCCCCUGCCCUUGUUCCUCCUUAGAUGAAGGCUGACAUGGACCCCGCUUUGGGAUUUCUCCUCCCUCAUGUUGGUUUCUCCUGAGUGAUCUCUUGAGUCUUGAACAUAGAUGUAGCUGUUCGUGAAAUCUUAAAAUUUCCGUUUUCUGGCUGUGGUUUGGCCUGCCCCUUCAUGAAGCAGCAGUCUUUCUUCUGUCUUGGCCUGGUUUGUGGCGAGCAUGCAGAUUGAGAAGUGACAUCUUCAGCACAUUUAAGCACCUUUGACAGUAGUCAGCAUUGCAUCCUGGCCCUUGGAGGGGGUGUAAAGAAAAGUGCAGGCCCUGGCAUUAAGGGGCCCAGCAUUUAGAGAGACGUUAAAUAAGUGCUGUGGAACAGCAGUGUCCCUCAGUGGUGCAAAGGGUUAAUGAGGUCAGUUCGUAAUAGGGUUUGAAAGUUCAAGUCCACCAACAGGCGCCUCAGGAGAGAGGCCUGGUAGUCUACUUCCAAAAAAUCAGUCAUUGGAAACCCUGUGGAACACAGUUGUACUCUGACACGCAUGGGGUCACCAUGUGUUCAAGUCGACUCGAUGGCAGCUGGCGUAUGAAACAAUAGCAGGAAGGAGGGUUUCCAGUGGGAUCUGUCAGGGCUUGUGACCCCUGAGGGGCCUGACUGUCAAAGGCAGGAAAGGCUUUUUCCAGCUGAUGAAACCUGGGACAGAAGGCAGGAAGCAUGAAAGUGGCGGGAAGCUUGUGAGUUGGAGCCAUACCUGCGACACAUGGACGUGGCUAAGCGAAGGGAAAGGAACUGAAGUAGGAAAUACGGGCUGGUGUUGGGUCAUGGGGCACUUUGAAUGUCAGAGCUCAGGUUUUAUUCUGACUUGAUUAGUGCCGGGUUUCCAAGGAAGACAGGGAGACUGAGCUGUGUCUGAGAAGGGCACCAGGUGGCAGUGUGCAAAUUCCAAGCUUGGAGAGAAGCUGUGGGGUUAGGAAGCCACGGAGACUGCACCUGAAGAGGGCAGCGACCAGCCCGCGGCCAGAGCCUGCGGGCAUGGAGGGAGGUAGGGCACAGCCCCAGGGACUCUUUUCACACACUCCGGGUGGAAGGUAGGUUUUGGCUUUUAUAGAGUCUUUCACGGUUGUUUCUCGGUAGUUUUAACUUGGAGAAUAGUCAGGCUUGCUGAAGUGCCGUAAAAACUGAUGAAAUCUCAUUGGUUUGCAGGUGAGUGUUCUGGAAGAUUUGCGUGUGUGCUGGCUGAAAACCUACUGACUCCUGUCUGCUUGAAACGUAAAUUUUAUGGCUUUCAGGUUUAUUUGGAAUGACGCUUAACCACACAAGUUUUCAGUGUUGACCUGCUGAAGAUGCCAUGUCCUGUGGACGUAAUGAAAAGGAGUCAGGCGCAAGAGCAUGUUCCCAGUAUUUCCAGCUGUGAAAUUCUGUAGGAUGCUGCGGCUUGGUGAACGCGCUAGGCUGCUAACCGAAAGGUUAGCAGUUUGAGUCUACCCAGAGGCAGCUCAGAACAAAGACCUGGCAAUUUACUUCUGAAAACUCAGCUAUUGAAAACCCUGCAGAGUCACCUUGAGCAACAGAGGAAGACGAGUCAGAAAUAGGAGGAAAUGGACUGUGUGACUAACUGCCUCCAUGAACAACUGCCUCCUUUGCCAUGAGAUCAGAACUUGUUGGUGCCUGGCUACUGUUACUGAGUGUUUUGAUCAAAGAUGCUGUAGGAGGAUCUUGAUAAAAAGGGGGAGAAUGCAGAACAAAAUUUCAAAUUCUCACGGAAUCUAGAAUUUCUGGAGCCAUGGAGGCUGCUUGAAACCCUGAAAUUAACUGCCAUGAGAUAAUCUCUAAGCCUUAAACCAAAAAUAUCCUCUAGAGUCUUCUUAAAACCAAACAAUAGUUCAGCUUAACUAGUAAAGCCUCCCUUGAGCAUUGUGCUCUUUUAAAACCCUCUGGAGUCACCUGGAGCAACAGAGGAAGAGAGUCAGAAUAGGAGGAAGAAAUGGAAUGUGUGGUUAUAUGGAAUCAUAUGGGGUCAAAAUCUGCAUGGGAUCAAACUGACCUCAACUUGAAAGAUUAGAUAGGAAACUUAGGGGGCAAUGAGUUUAUAUAUGGGGGAGGAACAACUCAGAAAAGGAGGGUGAGAAUGGUUGUACAAAUUGAACAAUGUAAUCAAUGUCACUGGAUUAAACACGUAGAAACUUGAAUUGGUGUAUGUUCUGCUAUGUAUAUUCUCUACAACAACAAAAAUAGAUUACGUAUGAAAAAAGAAAACCCAAUGGAGCACCGUCUUAGUCAUCUAGUGCUACUAUAAACUACCACAAGUGGAUGGUUUUAACAAAGAGAAGUUUAUUCUUUCACAGUCUAGUAGGCUAGAAGUCCGAAUUCAGGGCACCAGCUCCAGGGGAAGGCUUUCUCUGUCUGCUCUGGAGGAAGGUCCUUGUCGUCAAUCUUCCCUUGGUCUGGGAGUUUCUCUGCACAGGAACCCUGAGUCCAAAGGACACACUUUGCUCCUGGCGCUGCUUUCUUGGUGGUAUGAGGUCCCCCGUCACUCUGCUCACUUUUCUCUUUUAUAUCUCAAAAGAGAUUGGCUGAAGACACAAACCAAUCUUGUAGUUUGAGUCCUGCCUCAUUAGCAUGACUGCCACUAAUCCCAUCUCAUCAACAUCAUAGAGGUAGAAUUUAUAAGACGUGGGAAAAUCACAUCAUGACAAAACGGUGGACAAUUACAAUAUUGGGAAUCAUGGCCCAGCCAAGUAGACAGAUAUUUUUAGGGGACACAAUUCAAUCCAUGACAAGCACCUUCGGCUCUGACACAGAUGGGGUUGUCAUGAGUUGGAGUCAACGCCACAGCAGCUCAUUCGGUUUUGUCUUCGUUUGUCCUUUACCUUGCCUCUUUUUCACACCAGUCGUCCUUGCUUGGGUGCUUCCUGGGUCAUAGGUUGAAUAAUCUGUUAUGGAUUCAAUUGUGUCCCCAAAAAUAUGUAUUGUAAAUCCUAAAACCUCUAUACCUACAUAUAUAAUCCCGUUUGGGAAUAGGACUUUCUUUGUCAGGCUGAUGAGAUCAUAUUGGUGUAGGGUGUGUCAUACAGAUUAGGCAUAGAAAAGGAAGCACACAUGGAGGGGAGGAUACAAGCCACAGGAAGGACAGGACAAGAGACAAGGACCUUCCCCCCAGAGCUGACAGAGAGCCUCGCCCUAGAGCCGGCACCCUGAAUUUCAAUUUCUAGCCCGAAUUGUAAGAAAAUAAAUUUAUGCUCAUUCAAGCCAUCCAGUUGUGGCAUUUCUGUUAUAGCAGUGGUGGGACAGUACUCAGGAACGCAUCUACAACAACAGAUUCGCUAUGUAAGGGGCUAAGAAGAAAUACCUGUCCCUGCCUCAGCUCCUUGGGGCUGAGGUCAUUGCGGUCCUCUGGACAAAUGACAGCUCAUAUCACAGGUAAAGAUCCUUAAGUACCCCCGUGCUUUCCAUGGAGGGUAAUAGAGUGUUAAAUAUGAUGCUGCUCACUGCAGCCAAUGGGCUCUGAUUCCUGGCAAACUUCAUUAGUAGAACUAAACGUUGCCCUUUCUUAAACCAUCUUCACAAUCAUUGGUAUUUUUCUAUUUUAUUUUUUAUUGUUUUAUGUGAAACUUUACAGCUCAAGUUUGUUUCUCAUGCAAAAAUUUAUACACAUAUUGUUAUGUGACCUAGUUGCAAUCCCAAUAAUGUGAUAUACUCCCUCUUUCCACCCCAGGUUUCCCGUGUCCAUUCAACCAGCUCCUAUCCCUUUCCACCUUCUCAUCUCACUUCUGGACAGGAGCUGCCCAUUUAGUUUUGUGUAUCUACUUGAACUAAGAAGCACACUCUUCAUGAGUAUCAUUUUAUGUUUUAUA